Molecule: ribosomal RNA, 629 nt
Filed under: Bradyrhizobium sp.
Lineage: Bacteria; Pseudomonadati; Pseudomonadota; Alphaproteobacteria; Hyphomicrobiales; Nitrobacteraceae
Description: bacterial SSU rRNA
Rfam family: Bacterial small subunit ribosomal RNA
Source: RNAcentral
GUAGCAAUACGGAGCGGCAGACGGGAGAGUAACACGUGGGAACGUGCCCUUUGGUUCGGAACAACACAGGGAAACUUGUGCUAAUACCGGAUAAGCCCUUACGGGGAAAGAUUUAUCGCCAAAGGAUCGGCCCGCGUCUGAUUAGCUUGUUGGUGAGGUAACGGCUCACCAAGGCGACGAUCAGUAGCUGGUCUGAGAGGAUGAUCAGCCUCACUGGGACUGAGACACGGCCCAGACUCCUACGGGAGGCAGCAGUGGGGAAUAUUGGACAAUGGGCGCAAGCCUGAUCCAGCCAUGCCGCGUGGAUGAUGAAGGCCCUAGGGUUGUAAAGUCCUUUCGGCGGGGAAGAUAAUGACGGUACCCGCAGAAGAAGCCCCGGCUAACUUCGUGCCAGCAGCCGCGGUAAUACGAAGGGGGCUAGCGUUGCUCGGAAUCACUGGGCGUAAAGCGCACGUAGGCGGCUUUUUAAGUCAGGGGUGAAAUCCUGGAGCUCAACUCCAGAACUGCCUUUGAUACUGAGAAGCUUGAGUUCGGGAGAGGUGAGUGGAACUGCGAGUGUAGAGGUGAAAUUCGUAGAUAUUCGCAAGAACACCAGUGGCGAAGGCGGCUCACUGGCCCGAUACUGACGC